GAGGGUAUAACUCAGUGGUAGAGUGUGUGCUUUGCAUACAUGAGGUCCUGGAUUCAAUCCCCAGUACCUCCC
This 72-nucleotide transfer RNA is filed under the name Camelus bactrianus (Bactrian camel). It matches the Rfam family "tRNA". From Rfam's summary of the family: Transfer RNA (tRNA) molecules are approximately 80 nucleotides in length. Their secondary structure includes four short double-helical elements and three loops (D, anti-codon, and T loops). RNAcentral also lists the same sequence under 2 other names. Lineage: Eukaryota; Metazoa; Chordata; Mammalia; Artiodactyla; Camelidae. The record is from Rfam by way of RNAcentral.